Long non-coding RNA from Humulus lupulus (European hop), 903 nucleotides. RefSeq lists it as uncharacterized. The record is from RefSeq and is a predicted model, not a curated record. Lineage: Eukaryota; Viridiplantae; Streptophyta; Magnoliopsida; Rosales; Cannabaceae. The transcript is spliced from 2 exons.
UUUUUUUAAAUAUAGUUCAUGAUACAAGCCCAAGAGACAACUCUAAGGAAACCUAAUUCCCUCUGUAGACCAAAUUGACUCACCUCUCCACAGCCGCUUCUUCUACUUCACCCUUUCCUUCUACCAUGUCGUCUCUCCAACUCUGCCACUCCCUCUAUCUCCCCAACUCUCUCGCUGUCAUUGUUUCCUUAUCUCUUCCACUCUUUCUGUCACCUAUUAGAGGAAAACAAUUCUUGCAGGCCUAAUUAUUUAUUUCUGGGUUGUUUUUUAGGGCUAAUGGUGGAGCUUAAUGUACUGUAUUAUUUUGGUCGAGGGUUUUGGUGGCUGGGUCUUCUAAUGGAGGCAUGUAAUGGGGUCGCAUGGUAUUCUACAUUGAUCUUAAAGAGGGUGUACCCAUACCGCAUUGUUUUUGCAGGAUUACUAAUUUGAAACUUGCAUGUGUACUGAUCUAAUUUUACUAUGCUAUUACUAUAUGAAAAGAAAUAUCACUAACAUUUUUAAUGUUUCUGUUAAUGUUUCAUGGAUGAAAUCAAACUGUAUUACUUCAACAAUUUCUGCAAAUGAAAUAAACCUCAGAUUUGUUUCAGGAGGAUGAAACCAUUCUAGAGUUAAAAUUACAGUGUAUUAAUUCAACACAUUUUUGUAGGUGUAAUUGAUAUGAGAGUAUGUUUCAGGAGUGUUUUUUAUUAUUUGAAAGUUUAUAAUGAUGAGAGAGGAGGUUUGAUGCGAUAAUGUUUAUGUAUUUGUAAUGUGUUACUUUAUGCAAAAGGUUGUGUACUGAAAGGAUGUGUACUUCUGAAGUGUUGUAUUGUUUAAUUUUUUUUAAGAUUAAUCAUUUGAAUGUGUGAAGAAUCAAUUAUUGUAUUUUUUGGAUAUAGAAGAAAUUAUUCAGUUUGGAUGACU